This 295-nucleotide unclassified non-coding RNA is filed under the name uncultured fungus. RNAcentral describes it as "sequence contains ITS1". The stretch from base 1 to 98 matches the Rfam family "5.8S ribosomal RNA", at positions 50 to 154 of the family's 154-position model. Lineage: Eukaryota; Fungi. The record is from RNAcentral.
GAAAUGCGAUACGCAAUGCGAAUUGCAGAACCGUGAGUCAUCAGAUUUUUGAACGCAAGUGGCGAUAGUUUCAUACUAUCAUGUUUGUUUCAGUGUGUCCGGUUAAUAACAUCAUAGAGUAUAAUGUGAUUGAAAACUUCUCUCACAAAAUACGAAGCAAUGUCAAUUGAAACAUUUAGCGAAGUAGUCACUAAUUUGUGAUAAUCGUUUUAGUGUGAAAAUUGGUGAAUCAUUGCUACUAAAAUAUUUAUCCAAUAUGAUGCCUGAAAUAAGCAAGAUUACCCGCUGAACUUAA